UAACUACUCUGUCAGGCGCUGAAGCCAAGCACAGGUGAAGAAUUGCUGAUUGACCCACUAUAGUACUUGGGGCUCUUCCUCCCUGGGAGAAAAUCCUGGAACAAUCAUUUCAAGCUCCAGAUUUGCACAGCAGGUCCAAGAUCCUGGCUUCAGGCAGCAGCUCGCUGCUCAGUCUUAUAUCACACAAAAGAGCUUUGCCCAGGCGCGUCGCCCGCUCUUUUCAUCCAAUCCUCUCCUGACAGGCAGUCUGGAAAGAAAGCGUACUCAUAUUGAUUCCGAAGGCACAAUUGGAACUCCGGCAUUUUCUUCUGGGCUCAGGGGUCGAGACGAAGGGGUUGGCAGUGCUGGCUGGGAAGCAAAGGAACAGCAGACACACAGGAGCUGAAGUGACAGUAAAUGAAGCUGUGGUCUUCAGGCUUAGGUGGAGUCGGGCGGGCGUUCUGCGCAUCUGUACCUCCGACAAAUGGAUUUGGUCCUCAGUUCCAGCCAUCAUCUGAUUUCAAGUUUGGUUACCUAGGAAACAGAGGGCACACUGCUGGGACAGUCAGCCCGUGUUCUGUGCCGACCAAAGCUAUUAAAACCCAUCAAGUCAGCCUCGGAGAAGCUGAGCACGGACAGUUUCAACUUCCAGCCAGGACUCCUCAGGCUCCACUUGAUGUUUGGCUGUGGACCUCUGCAUCUGUUUCCAUCCACUGCUGGAUGAAGCCUCUCAGGAGACAGUUAUGCUAAGAUCUUGUCUGCAAGCAUCCCCACCCUGUCCUUUGCAAACGAAGAGAAGAUGAGCAGAAACUUAAAGCUGUCAGACUUGGUUACCUGCUACCAGCUCCGCUGCAGACCAGGUCCAUGGUCUAUCUAGUCUCAGAUGUUUGGCCACCCAAGCAGUGUCAGAGGCCUGCUGAUUUUCUAAGGAGAGAGAAAAAUUGUGGAUCCAGAUUGGAGUGGGAGAGGGGGGAAACUUGGAGGAGCUGGGGGAGGGGAAACCAUAAUCAGAGUAUAUUGUAUGAAAAAAAAUCUAUUUUCAACAAAAGAAAAAAAGAACUUAUCUUCCAUCCUAUGAUUUCUCCUGGUUGUGCAUACAAUGAUAUUUAAUAAAAAUCCAUGUCGUAAAUGAGCUAAAUACCUAAUAAAAAUGGAAAAAAAAUAAAAAUCCAUGUCAAAUAAAGUGAAUGGAAUAUUCUGUGUCAUAUUUAGUUGGAAUUUCCCCUGUCUAAGUAGAGCAU
This is a long non-coding RNA of Mus musculus (house mouse), 1220 nucleotides long. RefSeq annotates it as predicted gene, 46410. The transcript has 5 exons. NCBI's taxonomy places the organism in Eukaryota, Metazoa, Chordata, Mammalia, Rodentia, Muridae. The record is from RefSeq and is a predicted model, not a curated record.